RNAcentral lists this ribosomal RNA (425 nucleotides) under uncultured bacterium. Its description in RNAcentral is "bacterial SSU rRNA". It matches the Rfam family "Bacterial small subunit ribosomal RNA", at positions 356 to 773 of the family's 1533-position model. The record is from RNAcentral.
GGGGAAUUUUGGACAAUGGGGGCAACCCUGAUCCAGCCAUCCCGCGUGUGCGAUGAAGGCCUUCGGGUUGUAAAGCACUUUUGGCAGGGAAGAAAAGGCUCUGGCUAAUACCUGGAGCUGCUGACGGUACCUGCAGAAUAAGCACCGGCUAACUACGUGCCAGCAGCCGCGGUAAUACGUAGGGUGCAAGCGUUAAUCGGAAUUACUGGGCGUAAAGCGUGCGCAGGCGGUUCGGCAAGAAGGAUGUGAAAUCCCAGGGCUUAACCUUGGAACUGCAUUCUUAACUGCCGGGCUAGAGUAUGUCAGAGGGGGGUAGAAUUCCGCGUGUAGCAGUGAAAUGCGUAGAGAUGCGGAGGAAUACCGAUGGCGAAGGCAGCCCCCUGGGAUAAUACUGACGCUCAUGCACGAAAGCGUGGGGAGCAAAC